This 253-nucleotide ribosomal RNA is filed under the name uncultured bacterium. RNAcentral describes it as "partial 16S ribosomal RNA". It matches the Rfam family "Bacterial small subunit ribosomal RNA", at positions 524 to 776 of the family's 1533-position model. The record is from RNAcentral.
UACGUAGGGUGCGAGCGUUAAUCGGAAUUACUGGGCGUAAAGCGUGCGUAGGCGGUUCGCUGUGUCCGAUGUGAAAGCCCCGGGCUUAACCUGGGAAUGGCAUUGGAAACUGGCGGGCUUGAGUGCGGCAGAGGGGGGUGGAAUUCCGCGUGUAGCAGUGAAAUGCGUAGAUAUCGGGAGGAACACCAAUGGCGAAAGCAGGUAACUGGACUAUUACUGACACUCAACUGCGAAAGCUAGGGGAGCAAACAGG